UACGUAGGGGGCUAGCGUUGUCCGGAAUCAUUGGGCGUAAAGCGCGUGUAGGCGGUCCGGUAAGUCCGCUGUGAAAGUCGGGGGCUCAACCCUCGGAUGCCGGUGGAUACUGUCGGGCUUGAGUACGGAAGAGGCGAGUGGAAUUCCUGGUGUAGCGGUGAAAUGCGCAGAUAUCAGGAGGAACACCAAUUGCGAAGGCAGCUCGCUGGGACGUUACUGACGCUGAGGCGCGAAAGCGUGGGGAGCGAACAGG
RNAcentral lists this ribosomal RNA (253 nucleotides) under uncultured bacterium. RNAcentral describes it as "partial 16S ribosomal RNA". It matches the Rfam family "Bacterial small subunit ribosomal RNA", at positions 524 to 776 of the family's 1533-position model. The record is from RNAcentral.